This 253-nucleotide ribosomal RNA is filed under the name uncultured bacterium. Its description in RNAcentral is "partial 16S ribosomal RNA". It matches the Rfam family "Bacterial small subunit ribosomal RNA", at positions 524 to 776 of the family's 1533-position model. The record is from RNAcentral.
UACGGGGGGGGCAAGCGUUGUUCGGAAUUACUGGGCGUAAAGGGCUCGUAGGCGGCCAACUAAGUCGGAUGUGAAAUCCCCGGGCUCAACCCGGGAACUGCGUCCGAUACUGGGAGGCUUGAAUCCGGGAGAGGGAUGUGGAAUUCCAGGUGUAGCGGUGAAAUGCGUAGAUAUCAAGAGGAACACCUGAGGUGAAGACGGGUUGCUGGGCCAACACUGACGCUGAGGCGCGAAAGCCAGGGGAGCAAACGGG